UGCACAUAUGCAGGAGCUCGGCGGAUAUCAUACAUAUUUGAGGUUGUAGGGCGAGAAUUUUUCAUGGAUAUUGGAGGUUGGGCGAGAUUUUGGCCCUUAUAUGGAUAUUUGGAGGUUUUCACCCGAUAUCCACCGAGUUCUGAGCAGAUUAUCGAACUUUCCGAAAGCUUAGAUGAGACUUAUAUAUACCAAAAUAAGCAGGUAAAGGUAAAGAUGUAGGUAAAGGGGCUCUAUUCCUUGGAUUGGAUUCUGGAACCAUAAGUUCAUUAGAUCCAGCAACCACGAAAUUAGUUUAGAACAUUUCAAAUUUCCAAUGAAUACAGUACAUGACAAACCUGUAGAGCUCAGGAGAUGAACACAUACGUAAAUUCGUAACCCACUCAAGAUCCCAGAUUUCCAAAAGUUUACCUCUUUAAUGUCAUGAAGUCAUGAAAUAAAUCCUUGAAUAAUGUUCU
Molecule: long non-coding RNA, 455 nt
Organism: Folsomia candida
Lineage: Eukaryota; Metazoa; Arthropoda; Collembola; Entomobryomorpha; Isotomidae
Exons: 2
Source: RefSeq, a predicted model, not a curated record